GUGAGGAAUAUUGCGCAAUGGAGGCAACUCUGACGCAGCCAUGCCGCGUGCAGGAAGAAGGCGCUACGCGUUGUAAACUGCUUUUAACCGGGAAGAAACCCCAGGACGUGUCCUGGGUUGACGGUACCGGAGGAAUAAGCACCGGCUAACUUCGUGCCAGCAGCCGCGGUAAUACGAAGGGUGCAAGCGUUAUCCGGAUUCAUUGGGUUUAAAGGGUGCGUAGGCGGAGCGUUAAGUCAGUGGUGAAAUCCUGCAGCUUAACUGUAGACUUGCCAUUGAUACUGGCGCUCUUGAGUGCGCUUGAAGUGGGCGGAAUGUGUCGUGUAGCGGUGAAAUGCUUAGAUAUGGCACAGAACACCAAUUGCGAAGGCAGCUCACUAAGGCGAUACUGACGCUGAGGCACGAAAGCGUGGGGAUCGAACAGGAUUAGAAACCCGAGUAGUCC
RNAcentral lists this ribosomal RNA (445 nucleotides) under uncultured bacterium. RNAcentral's name for it is "partial 16S ribosomal RNA". It matches the Rfam family "Bacterial small subunit ribosomal RNA", at positions 354 to 796 of the family's 1533-position model. The record is from RNAcentral.